Molecule: ribosomal RNA, 957 nt
Filed under: Lysinibacillus sp. RE7(2011)
Lineage: Bacteria; Bacillati; Bacillota; Bacilli; Caryophanales; Bacillaceae
Description: bacterial SSU rRNA
Rfam family: Bacterial small subunit ribosomal RNA
Source: RNAcentral
CGGGGGGGCGCGCUUAAUAAUGCAAGUCGAGCGAACAGAAAAGGAGCUUGCUCCUUUGACGUUAGCGGCGGACGGGUGAGUAACACGUGGGCAACCUACCCUAUAGUUUGGGAUAACUCCGGGAAACCGGGGCUAAUACCGAAUAAUCUCUUUUGCUUCAUGGUAAAAGACUGAAAGACGGUUUCGGCUGUCGCUAUAGGAUGGGCCCGCGGCGCAUUAGCUAGUUGGUGAGGUAACGGCUCACCAAGGCGACGAUGCGUAGCCGACCUGAGAGGGUGAUCGGCCACACUGGGACUGAAACACGGCCCAAACUCCUACGGGAGGCAGCAGUAGGGAAUCUUCCACAAUGGGCGAAAGCCUGAUGGAGCAACGCCGCGUGAGUGAAGAAGGUUUUCGGAUCGUAAAACUCUGUUGUAAGGGAAAAACAAGUACAGUAGUAACUGGCUGUACCUUGACGGUACCUUAUUAAAAAGCCACGGCUAACUACGUGCCAGCAGCCGCGGUAAUACGUAGGUGGCAAGCGUUGUCCGGAAUUAUUGGGCGUAAAGCGCGCGCAGGCGGUCCUUUAAGUCUGAUGUGAAAGCCCACGGCUCAACCGUGGAGGGUCAUUGGAAACUGGGGGACUUGAGUGCAGAAGAGGAAAGUGGAAUUCCAAGUGUAGCGGUGAAAUGCGUAGAGAUUUGGAGGAACACCAGUGGCGAAGGCGACUUUUCUGGUCUGUAACUGACGCUGAGGCGCGAAAGCGUGGGGGAGCAAACAGGAUUAGAUACCCUGGUAGUCCACGCCGUAAACGAUGAGUGCUAGGUGUUAGGGGGUUUCCGCCCCUUAGUGCUGCAGCUAACGCAUAAGCACUCCGGCCUGGGGGAGUACGGUCGCAGACUGAACUCAAGUAUUGACGGUGUCCGCACAGCCGAUGAAGCAUGUGAUUAAUUCCGAAAGCCAAACGGCGAGACAAAU